CCUUUUUUUUUUUUUUUUUUCAAAAUAUGAUAAUCCAUAUGCAUUGCAUUUGUUUAUCUUGAACAACAAGAUGUAGAGAACUCUAUAACAUAAUCUAGUGCUUUCCAAAUGUUUAAAAUUAGCAGAGCUCAAAGUUUUGUGAGCUUAAGCCUAUUAAAUUGCAGUAAACAUUUUUCAUUCCUGUUGGUUGAACUUCGAAGGGUCAAAAUAUUGAUUCUUUAUAUAUAUAUCCUUUUUGGUGCUCAUUGGAUGACCAUAAUUUAUGGAAUGGGAAAACUGCAGGCCAUGAUGAAAGAUCCAU
Molecule: unclassified non-coding RNA, 301 nt
Filed under: Hevea brasiliensis (rubber tree)
Lineage: Eukaryota; Viridiplantae; Streptophyta; Magnoliopsida; Malpighiales; Euphorbiaceae
Source: RNAcentral